AAGAACUUGCCGCCGGGUAAGUUAAAAGCGUUGACUUUUGCAUCAGUAGGCCUUGUAGAUGCAAAAUAUCAGCGCUUUUCUUAU
Molecule: non-coding RNA, 84 nt
Filed under: unclassified sequences
Source: RNAcentral